GAUGAACGCUAGCGACAGGCUUAACACAUGCAAGUCGAGGGGUAACAGGGUAGCAAUACCGCUGACGACCGGCGCACGGGUGAGUAACGCGUAUGCAACCUGCCUAUAACUGGGGAAUAGCUCCCUGAAAGGGGAAUUAACACCGCAUAACACUAUUGAUUCGCAUGGAUUGGUAGUUAAAUGUAGCGAUACAGGUUAUAGAUGGGCAUGCGUGACAUUAGCUAGUUGGUGAGGUAACGGCUCACCAAGGCUACGAUGUCUAGGGGUUCUGAGAGGAAGGUCCCCCACACUGGUACUGAGACACGGACCAGACUCCUACGGGAGGCAGCAGUGAGGAAUAUUGGUCAAUGGGCGCAAGCCUGAACCAGCCAUGUCGCGUGCAGGAAGACUGCCCUAUGGGUUGUAAACUGCUUUUAUAGUAGAAGAAACACAUCUACGAGUAGAUGUCUGCCAGUAUACUAUGAAUAAGCAUCGG
This 475-nucleotide ribosomal RNA is filed under the name uncultured bacterium. RNAcentral describes it as "bacterial SSU rRNA". It matches the Rfam family "Bacterial small subunit ribosomal RNA", at positions 28 to 496 of the family's 1533-position model. The record is from RNAcentral.